AGUGAACGCUGGCGGUAUGCCUAACACAUGCAAGUCGAACGGCAGCACAGUAAGAGCUUGCUCUUACGGGUGGCGAGUGGCGGACGGGUGAGGAAUACAUCGGAAUCUACUUUUUCGUGGGGGAUAACGUAGGGAAACUUACGCUAAUACCGCAUACGACCUACGGGUGAAAGCAGGGGAUCUUCGGACCUUGCGCGAUUGAAUGAGCUGAUGUCGGAUUAGCUAGUUGGCGGGGUAAAGGCCCACCAAGGCGACGAUCCGUAGCUGGUCUGAGAGGAUGAUCGGCCACACUGGAACUGAGACACGGUCCAGACUCCUACGGGAGGCAGCAGUGGGGAAUAUUGGACAAUGGGCGCAAGCCUGAUCCAGCCAUACCGCGUGAGUGAAGAAGGCCUUCGGGUUGUAAAGCCCUUUUAUUGGGAAAGAAAAGCAGCAGGUUAAUACCCCGCUGUUCUGACGGUACCCAAAGAAUAAGCCCCGGCUAACUUCGUG
This 492-nucleotide ribosomal RNA is filed under the name uncultured bacterium. RNAcentral's name for it is "partial 16S ribosomal RNA". It matches the Rfam family "Bacterial small subunit ribosomal RNA", at positions 29 to 507 of the family's 1533-position model. The record is from RNAcentral.